UCGGGGAUAGACAAAGCCAGGUACGUCGCCUGCCUUUGAAGCAGGAAAUGGGGGCUCAAAUCCUUUUCCCCGAGCCA
RNAcentral lists this transfer RNA (77 nucleotides) under Candidatus Saccharimonadota bacterium. RNAcentral's name for it is "tRNA-Gln". It matches the Rfam family "tRNA". Rfam says of the family: Transfer RNA (tRNA) molecules are approximately 80 nucleotides in length. The record is from RNAcentral. Lineage: Bacteria; Candidatus Saccharimonadota.